Long non-coding RNA from Piliocolobus tephrosceles (Ugandan red Colobus), 599 nucleotides. RefSeq lists it as uncharacterized. The transcript is spliced from 3 exons. NCBI's taxonomy places the organism in Eukaryota, Metazoa, Chordata, Mammalia, Primates, Cercopithecidae. The record is from RefSeq and is a predicted model, not a curated record.
CCCCUGUCCCCUCGGCCCGGAGACCAGUAUCGGCUUCGGAACCUUCGGAGCAGCAAUAGGAAUGUGAUGACCAGCAGGUCAAAGAUGAGCUCGGCCAUCUCCACCACAGACAGCACUGAGGAGCCGAACCACAGGCUCCACUGGCUGCCCAGGUUGGACAGGAGGGUGACCAUCUGUGAGAGAAGAGGUCAGACAGGAACCAGGAGGCCACGACUGGAAAGUCCAGGCAGAAGAGAACUGCGGAGCCAGCCCAGGGAAGGACAGAAGUGGAAAAGUCACCACAGACAGAAACAAGCUUCCUGGCACACAACUUCCCUGCCAAACAACUCAGCUGUAGUCAAAAGAGAUUUGUCUAGAUAAGGAGGAGAUUCCAAGGUGCUUCAAACUUUAUUGAUUGUGCCCUUGUUCAGGUAAAAAAAAAAAAAUCUUAAAUAAGCAGGUCCAAUACACGUAUUUGAUUUAUAAAUUACAUACCUCUACUCUUGAAUGGAGACAGUAUGUCCAUUCUAAAGCACAUAAGAUAGCAAAUGUGAAGGAACGAGACAGACCCAUGUAACUUCUAAUAUUUUCUUCCUGCGCCCCAGGGAAGUGUUGUGUAC